GACGAACGCUGGCGGCGUGCCUAACACAUGCAAGUCGAACGGUGAAGCGAGUGCUUGCACUCGUGGAUCAGUGGCGAACGGGUGAGUAACACGUGAGUAACCUGCCCAUCACUCUGGGAUAAGCACUGGAAACGGUGUCUAAUACUGGAUACGACCAACCCUUGCAUGGGGUGUUGGUGGAAAGAUUUAUCGGUGAUGGAUGGACUCGCGGCCUAUCAGCUUGUUGGCGGGGUAAUGGCCCACCAAGGCGACGACGGGUAGCCGGCCUGCGAGGGUGACCGGCCACACUGGGACUGAGAAACGGCCCAGACUCAUACGGGAGGCAGCAGUGGGGAAUAUUGCACAAUGGGCGACAGCCUGAUGCAGCGACGCCGCGUGAGGGAUGACGGCCUUCGGGUUGUAAACCUCUUUCAGCAGGAAAGAAGCGAAAGUGACGGUACCUGCAGAAGAAGCACCGGCUAACUACGUG
RNAcentral lists this ribosomal RNA (469 nucleotides) under uncultured bacterium. RNAcentral describes it as "partial 16S ribosomal RNA". It matches the Rfam family "Bacterial small subunit ribosomal RNA", at positions 28 to 507 of the family's 1533-position model. The record is from RNAcentral.